GCCCUUAGAGUUUGAUCAUGGCUCAGGACGAACGCUGGCGGCGCGCUUAACACAUGCGAGUUGAACGCUCCGCCCUCUACUGCCCUUCGGGGCAGAAGAGGAUUACGGAGAGUAGCGGACGGGUAAGUAACGCGUAGGUAACCUGCCCUGGAGAGGAGGAUAACUCUGCGAAAGCGGAGCUAAUCCUCCAUAUGUUAGGGCACCGUAAGAUGCCUUAAUGAAAGGCGGCAUUAAGCCGUCGUUUCAGGAUGGGCCUGCGUCGGAUUAGCUAGCUGGUAGGGUAAAGGCCUACCAGGGCGACAAUCCGUAGCUGGUCUGAGAGGACGAUCAGCCACACUGGGACUGAGACACGGCCCAGACUCCUACGGGAGGCAGCAGUGGGGAAUCUUCCGCAAUGGGCGCAAGCCUGACGGAGCGACGCCGCGUGAGUGAAGAAGGCCUUCGGGUCGUAAAGCUCUGUCAGUGGGGAAGAAGGCAGUCAUCAAGAAAAGGGUGACUGUUGACGGUACCCGCAAAGGAAGCCCUGGCCAACUACGUGCCAGCAGCCGCGGUAACACGUAGAGGGCAAGCGUUGUCCGGAAUUACUGGGCGUAAAGGGCGCGCAGGCGGCAAGGCAAGUCGGGUGUGAAAACCUGGGGCUUAACCCCAGGCGUGCAUUCGAAACUGUCUUGCUUGAGGACAGCAGAGGGAAACGGAAUUCCUGGUGUAGUGGUGAAAUACGUAGAUAUCAGGAGGAACACCAGUGGCGAA
RNAcentral lists this ribosomal RNA (750 nucleotides) under uncultured low G+C Gram-positive bacterium. RNAcentral describes it as "bacterial SSU rRNA". It matches the Rfam family "Bacterial small subunit ribosomal RNA", at positions 1 to 719 of the family's 1533-position model. Lineage: Bacteria; Bacillati; Bacillota. The record is from RNAcentral.